UGGCGGGUCUCCCCGCAUGCAGGUUUGGGACAAGGGGUCAGGUGCGGAAGCAAGCAGCCCACCCUGAAUUCAGCAGUGCCGGGGCUCCGGCUCGCCACCUC
Molecule: signal recognition particle RNA, 101 nt
Filed under: Eikenella corrodens ATCC 23834
Lineage: Bacteria; Pseudomonadati; Pseudomonadota; Betaproteobacteria; Neisseriales; Neisseriaceae
Description: Bacterial signal recognition particle RNA
Rfam family: Bacterial small signal recognition particle RNA
About the family: The signal recognition particle (SRP) is a universally conserved ribonucleoprotein involved in the co-translational targeting of proteins to membranes.
Source: RNAcentral